Molecule: ribosomal RNA, 253 nt
Filed under: uncultured bacterium
Lineage: Bacteria
Description: partial 16S ribosomal RNA
Rfam family: Bacterial small subunit ribosomal RNA
Source: RNAcentral
UACGUAGGGUGCAGGCGUUAAUCGGAAUUACUGGGCGUAAAGCGUGCGCAGGCGGUUUUGUAAGACAGAGGUGAAAUCCCCGGGCUCAACCUGGGAACUGCCUUUGUGACUGCAAGGCUUGAGUGCGGCAGAGGGGGAUGGAAUUCCGCGUGUAGCAGUGAAAUGCGUAGAUAUGCGGAGGAACACCGAUGGCGAAGGCAAUCCCCUGGGCCUGCACUGACGCUCAUGCAUGAAAGCGUGGGGAGCGAUCCGG